RNAcentral lists this ribosomal RNA (279 nucleotides) under uncultured bacterium. Its description in RNAcentral is "partial 16S ribosomal RNA". It matches the Rfam family "Bacterial small subunit ribosomal RNA", at positions 506 to 784 of the family's 1533-position model. The record is from RNAcentral.
UGCCAGCAGCCGCGGUAAUACGGAGGGUGCAAGCGUUAAUCGGAAUUACUGGGCGUAAAGCGCGCGUAGGCGGUUUGUUAAGCGAGAUGUGAAAGCCCUGGGCUCAACCUGGGAACUGCAUUUCGAACUGGCAGGCUAGAGUACAAGAGAGGGUGGUAGAAUUUCCUGUGUAGCGGUGAAAUGCGUAGAUAUAGGAAGGAAUACCAGUGGCGAAGGCGGCCACCUGGCUUGAUACUGACGCUGAGGUGCGAAAGCGUGGGGAGCGAACAGGAUUAGAUA